This 1252-nucleotide long non-coding RNA is filed under the name Homo sapiens (human). RNAcentral's name for it is "non-protein coding PTPRD-AS1:2". Lineage: Eukaryota; Metazoa; Chordata; Mammalia; Primates; Hominidae. The record is from RNAcentral.
CUCCUCCUCCCGCUCCUCCUGCUCGCCCUGCGCCCGCUUCUCUCGCUGCCGCCGCCGCCGCUGUUUGUCUCCUCCCCCUCCUCCUCCUCCUCCUCUUCCUCCUCCUCCCGCUCCUCGAUGCUCCGCCGCUCGCGGCUGGGGGGUCCGGGGCCGCGUCUCCUCUCCUCCCUCCGCCUCUCCUCUUUCCUCCUUCCUGCUGCCUCUUCUUUUAAAGCGGAUUCUUUGGCCACAAAUAGCAACUCGGCUGCCCCCCUCGGUGCCUCCCUCCCCUUCUCUUCUUCCCCCCAAAAGUGAAGCGCACGCGAGGUAAAGAAACGAAGACCCUGAGAAUUUAAAAUCAUCCAACUAUUUGGUGCCAGAAGCAGGACAAGAACUCAGACAUCAUGAUCCAGUGCCCUCCAUCCCACCAGCUAUUCAUCAUCACCUCCACAUUCUGGAUCAAAGAAGCCAGUUUUCCAACUUAUCAAUGAGCAAUACAUAUAGAAUAUUUUUAAAACUCCAAAUACUUUUAUGAAGGAAAAAUGAAGCAAUAGGACAAGACAUUUUCUUCGUUUCCUUCCAGCUCUAACAUUCUGUGAUAAAUAGCACACAGGAGCUUUGCUAUAGCACUACCCCCUCUAGUGCAUAAUUCAGCAUACGAUGAGUAUGAGUCUGUUUUGGACCCCAUCCAAAGGAGUUAGUUCCUAGAAGUACUUGGAAGAUUUAUUCUCAUUUAUCAUGAGGCAUCCUAACAGGAGACUAAAAAUAAUCACGAUGACAAUAAUAGUAAUCAGUUGUUACACUUGUAUUAUGUACUAAGCAUCGUGCUAAGCAUGUUAAAGUUCACCUGUUUUUGAAAAGGCACUUCAUGACCUUAUGUGGGUUGCGAAUCUAGUGGGUCAUAAACAAUUUCUGAAAUGAAAGAAAAGUAGGAAAAAACACAGAGUGCAUUAUACAUACUAAGUUGUUUUAUUUUUUAUUUUUUUAUUUUUUUUGCAAAACUUCCUUUUUGAUCAUGUGGCUAGUGAUUAAAAGUUUGGAAGCACUGCCUCGUUUCCAAUCUUAACUGCCUUGCUAGUUAAGUAUUAUUAGCCCCAUUAUAUAAGUGAGGAAACAGGACGAGAGAGGAUAAGUAAUUUGGCCAAGCUGACACAGUGAGUGGCCAAGCUAGAAUUUUGAACCUAGAUCUGUUUGACUUCAAAUCCAAUAUUUUCACUUCUAUAGUGAUGAUAAAUUAUUGACCAAGGUAUGGAAUAAAUUGUUGCUAAUCAUG